CCUACGGGUGGCAGCAGUGAGGAAUAUUGGUCAAUGGGCGCGAGCCUGAACCAGCCAAGUAGCGUGAAGGAUGACUGCCCUACGGGUUGUAAACCUCUUUUGUCAGGGAGCAAUUGGCGCUACGUGUAGCGUUAUCGAGAGUACCUGAAGAAAAAGCAUCGGCUAACUCCGUGCCAGCAGCCGCGGUAAUACGGAGGAUGCGAGCGUUAUCCGGAUUUAUUGGGUUUAAAGGGUGCGUAGGCGGAAUGCCAAGUCAGCGGUAAAAUCGCGGGGCUCAACCUCGCUCCGCCGUUGAAACUGGCGGUCUUGAGUGGGCGAGAAGUAUGCGGAAUGCGUGGUGUAGCGGUGAAAUGCAUAGAUAUCACGCAGAACUCCGAUUGCGAAGGCAGCAUACCGGCGCCCAACUGACGCUGAAGCACGAAAGCGUGGGUAUCGAACAGGAUUAGAUACCCUUGUAGUC
RNAcentral lists this ribosomal RNA (460 nucleotides) under uncultured bacterium. RNAcentral's name for it is "partial 16S ribosomal RNA". It matches the Rfam family "Bacterial small subunit ribosomal RNA", at positions 338 to 795 of the family's 1533-position model. The record is from RNAcentral.